Molecule: ribosomal RNA, 1644 nt
Filed under: Escherichia coli
Lineage: Bacteria; Pseudomonadati; Pseudomonadota; Gammaproteobacteria; Enterobacterales; Enterobacteriaceae
Description: partial 23S ribosomal RNA
Rfam family: Bacterial large subunit ribosomal RNA
Source: RNAcentral
CGAAUGCUGACAUAAGUAACGAUAAAGCGGGUGAAAAGCCCGCUCGCCGGAAGACCAAGGGUUCCUGUCCAACGUUAAUCGGGGCAGGGUGAGUCGACCCCUAAGGCGAGGCCGAAAGGCGUAGUCGAUGGGAAACAGGUUAAUAUUCCUGUACUUGGUGUUACUGCGAAGGGGGGACGGAGAAGGCUAUGUUGGCCGGGCGACGGUUGUCCCGGUUUAAGCGUGUAGGCUGGUUUUCCAGGCAAAUCCGGAAAAUCAAGGCUGAGGCGUGAUGACGAGGCACUACGGUGCUGAAGCAACAAAUGCCCUGCUUCCAGGAAAAGCCUCUAAGCAUCAGGUAACAUCAAAUCGUACCCCAAACCGACACAGGUGGUCAGGUAGAGAAUACCAAGGCGCUUGAGAGAACUCGGGUGAAGGAACUAGGCAAAAUGGUGCCGUAACUUCGGGAGAAGGCACGCUGAUAUGUAGGUGAAGUCCCUCGCGGAUGGAGCUGAAAUCAGUCGAAGAUACCAGCUGGCUGCAACUGUUUAUUAAAAACACAGCACUGUGCAAACACGAAAGUGGACGUAUACGGUGUGACGCCUGCCCGGUGCCGGAAGGUUAAUUGAUGGGGUUAGCGCAAGCGAAGCUCUUGAUCGAAGCCCCGGUAAACGGCGGCCGUAACUAUAACGGUCCUAAGGUAGCGAAAUUCCUUGUCGGGUAAGUUCCGACCUGCACGAAUGGCGUAAUGAUGGCCAGGCUGUCUCCACCCGAGACUCAGUGAAAUUGAACUCGCUGUGAAGAUGCAGUGUACCCGCGGCAAGACGGAAAGACCCCGUGAACCUUUACUAUAGCUUGACACUGAACAUUGAGCCUUGAUGUGUAGGAUAGGUGGGAGGCUUUGAAGUGUGGACGCCAGUCUGCAUGGAGCCGACCUUGAAAUACCACCCUUUAAUGUUUGAUGUUCUAACGUUGACCCGUAAUCCGGGUUGCGGACAGUGUCUGGUGGGUAGUUUGACUGGGGCGGUCUCCUCCUAAAGAGUAACGGAGGAGCACGAAGGUUGGCUAAUCCUGGUCGGACAUCAGGAGGUUAGUGCAAUGGCAUAAGCCAGCUUGACUGCGAGCGUGACGGCGCGAGCAGGUGCGAAAGCAGGUCAUAGUGAUCCGGUGGUUCUGAAUGGAAGGGCCAUCGCUCAACGGAUAAAAGGUACUCCGGGGAUAACAGGCUGAUACCGCCCAAGAGUUCAUAUCGACGGCGGUGUUUGGCACCUCGAUGUCGGCUCAUCACAUCCUGGGGCUGAAGUAGGUCCCAAGGGUAUGGCUGUUCGCCAUUUAAAGUGGUACGCGAGCUGGGUUUAGAACGUCGUGAGACAGUUCGGUCCCUAUCUGCCGUGGGCGCUGGAGAAUUGAGGGGGGCUGCUCCUAGUACGAGAGGACCGGAGUGGACGCAUCACUGGUGUUCGGGUUGUCAUGCCAAUGGCACUGCCCGGUAGCUAAAUGCGGAAGAGAUAAGUGCUGAAAGCAUCUAAGCACGAAACUUGCCCCGAGAUGAGUUCUCCCUGACUCCUUGAGAGUCCUGAAGGAACGUUGAAGACGACGACGUUGAUAGGCCGGGUGUGUAAGCGCAGCGAUGCGUUGAGCUAACCGGUACUAAUGAACCGUGAG